CAGGAUCCAAAUGACAAGAAGAUACUUGUCUAGCACCAUUACCAUCAUUAGCAGAUUGUUGGUGACUACUGCCAUCUCAUGAGAUUAGAAAGAAUACAUGAACCUCAAAAAAUCAAAGAAGAGAGAAUAUCAAAGAGAAGAAAGAAAGAAAGAUUUCUUCACUAAGUUCAACAUGAAUACAAAGAACCUACAAUAUUUAUACUAAGUUUUAACAAAGAAGAUGAGUAACAAAAUGAAUCAAGUAAGUCAAUAACUUAUUAACAACCUAAUUGUUGCAGCAGUUCAUUAUGCUUAAUUGCUGUUGCAGCUUAUUUCUUGACAUUCACCGUACCUUUUGGCUGCUGCUACUGAAGCUUGCGAACAGCUCAACUGCUGCAAUUCAAUCCUUAACACAUUAAAACAUUUAAAAUUUUCAUUUAAUCAUAAAUUAAAAUUAAGUAAUAAAAUUCAAUAAAAUUUAUUGUUUAGGAAAACCGAAUCCUAUAAAACUAAAAUGAAAAAGUUACAUUAUACCAAAAAAAAAAUGGAAAUGUUUUGUUUAUUGAAUAAAAAAUAACAAGGUUAAACAAAAUAAAAUAUAAUUAUGAAUUUGGGUAUCCGAUAGAAAGUUAUUCCCCUUAACAUCCUUUAAAAUUUUAAAAAUAAACAAAAUAAAACAAAAGAGACUGACUAUUAUUUAUUCAUUUCUUUCUUCUCUUUUGAUUCAUUAGCUGAGUUAUAAUAUUCAGUUAUUUGGUUCUAUGUCUUAAAAAAUAUGACACAAAAUCUCGAUGAAUUCGACUCGAAGUCGAGUUUAAAAUUCUUUUAACUAACUUCUAAAAAUAGACAAAAGAAAAACAAUAAAUUAAAUUCCAAAAUAAAAAAAAAUGAAACAAUAUUUGGGUAAAAAGGUUUUUUUUAAUCGCAUUUUUAACUUUAAAACACUUGCGUUUUCCGUUAUUUUUGCGGUAAAAAAUAUACUUUUAAGUUAAAAGUGGUUUUUCACCUUAAUAUAGAAUGCAUAUAAAAUUCUUGACCCCGAAAUUUAAAAAAAAAAAAAAAAAGUGCUGCUGUUUUAACUCAGCCAAUGAAUCUAAAGAGAAGAAAGUAAAGAUGUAUCUUUCAAUUUUCGAA
This 1113-nucleotide long non-coding RNA is filed under the name Gossypium barbadense (sea-island cotton). Its description in RNAcentral is "long non-coding RNA (GBAR_LNC004066)". The record is from RNAcentral. Lineage: Eukaryota; Viridiplantae; Streptophyta; Magnoliopsida; Malvales; Malvaceae.